GAGCAGUACUAUAUGGAGCCGAGGUUGUUCCAGCUUCUCAUGCUGUCCUGCCAGCAAGGGAUGUGGGGGGCAUAAGGAGCUGGGAGGAGAUAGAAGCAGAACUGCUGACCUAAACUAGCCAAAGGAAUACCCCAUACCAUAUGGCAUCAUGCUGAACAAUAACAGUGAGGGGAGUUUGGCAGGGUGGAGUCUGCUGCUCAGGGGCUGCCUGGGCAUCAGUUAGUGGGCGGAGUGGCAAGUUUUACAAGACUGAAAUACUGAUCAUUAGCACAACGAUCCAUGUCAGAAGCACCUCUGUUUAUCAUAAUCUCAUUUCCUUAAUGACAUAGGUUAAUUCCUGUUGAAUUGUUUCAGCAAGUACUCCACCUUCUAUUGUGUCAACGGUUUAAGGGCUGGUCCGGCCCGGUUCCGCGACUAGUGGGGCGGAGAGAUUUCACAAAAUCUGCGCCUCCAGGAAGGGAAACAGGGGACCCCAAAAUAAUUAAAAACAGCAGCAACGAUCUGAGGAGAAACAAACUAAUUUACUAAAUAUAGUAUCGGAAUGUAAGAUAACACACUAUAAUACAAUAUAAAUCAACAAUAAUUGAGAGAAAGAUUGUCUGAGAGCCAAAGGCCUUACGCUAAUACUGAAGCCUUGCGUGCAGUCGGGCGCAGCAGUAGCGAGCUGAUCCGACAGGGAACACGGCGAGACGAGAAGAGGGACAAGUCAGAUGACCUGCGCCCUUAUAUCUGUUCCCUUGAGCAGAAAUGAUAACAGUACUCAAAAAGGCUCUUGAGGAACAUAGUUCUUCAUCUCUUCCAGACAGGUACCCAGAACUAAAGCAUUUGCUCUUCAACUCCCAGUACACUGCAUGAUGUUGUGAUGUGGAAUACUGAUAACCAAAAAUCAUAAAACCAUGACAAUUGUGUAAUAUGACCA
Long non-coding RNA from Gallus gallus (chicken), 919 nucleotides. Lineage: Eukaryota; Metazoa; Chordata; Aves; Galliformes; Phasianidae. The record is from Ensembl.